Molecule: ribosomal RNA, 451 nt
Filed under: uncultured Gordonia sp.
Lineage: Bacteria; Bacillati; Actinomycetota; Actinomycetes; Mycobacteriales; Gordoniaceae
Description: bacterial SSU rRNA
Rfam family: Bacterial small subunit ribosomal RNA
Source: RNAcentral
GAUCCUACGGGUGGCUGCAGUGGGGAAUAUUGCACAAUGGGCGCAAGCCUGAUGCAGCGACGCCGCGUGAGGGAUGACGGCCUUCGGGUUGUAAACCUCUUUCGCCAGGGACGAAGCGUAAGUGACGGUACCUGGAGAAGAAGCACCGGCCAACUACGUGCCAGCAGCCGCGGUAAUACGUAGGGUGCGAGCGUUGUCCGGAAUUACUGGGCGUAAAGGGCUCGUAGGCGGUUUGUCGCGUCGUCUGUGAAAUUCUGCAACUCAAGUGCAGGCGUGCAGGCGAUACGGGCAGACUUGAGUACUACAGGGGAGACUGGAAUUCCUGGUGUAGCGGUGAAAUGCGCAGAUAUCAGGAGGAACACCGGUGGCGAAGGCGGGUCUCUGGGUAGUAACUGACGCUGAGGAGCGAAAGCGUGGGGAGCGAACAGGAUUAGAUACCCGGGUAGUCGGG